Molecule: transfer RNA, 84 nt
Filed under: Egicoccus halophilus
Lineage: Bacteria; Bacillati; Actinomycetota; Nitriliruptoria; Egicoccales; Egicoccaceae
Description: tRNA-Tyr
Rfam family: tRNA
About the family: Transfer RNA (tRNA) molecules are approximately 80 nucleotides in length. Their secondary structure includes four short double-helical elements and three loops (D, anti-codon, and T loops).
Source: RNAcentral
GGUGGGAUGCCCGAGUGGCCAAAGGGACCUGACUGUAAAUCAGGCGGCUAUGCCUUCGCAGGUUCAAAUCCUGCUCCCACCACC